Molecule: transfer RNA, 73 nt
Filed under: Candidatus Uhrbacteria bacterium
Lineage: Bacteria; Candidatus Uhriibacteriota
Description: tRNA-Pro
Rfam family: tRNA
About the family: Transfer RNA (tRNA) molecules are approximately 80 nucleotides in length. Their secondary structure includes four short double-helical elements and three loops (D, anti-codon, and T loops). Further hydrogen bonds mediate the characteristic L-shaped molecular structure. tRNAs have two regions of fundamental functional importance: the anti-codon, which is responsible for specific mRNA codon recognition, and the 3' end, to which the tRNAs corresponding amino acid is attached (by aminoacyl-tRNA synthetases). tRNAs cope with the degeneracy of the genetic code in two manners: having more than one tRNA (with a specific anti-codon) for a particular amino acid; and 'wobble' base-pairing, i.e. permitting non-standard base-pairing at the 3rd anti-codon position.
Source: RNAcentral
CGGGCCAUAGCUCAGUUGGUAGAGCGCAUGGUUUGGGACCAUGAGGUCGUGGGUUCGAGCCCCACUGGCCCGA